AAUGAACUCUCCUUCCGAGACACUCCUCCCUGCAAAAGGAUCUGCUGUGGGAAGCCAUGGAGAAGGUCUUCACCUACAGAGCCACCAUCUAAUCCCCCAUAUAGGCCUCUCUGCGCUCCCAGUCACGAUGGCCACCAUCAAGCAAAACCAAGCCUGCCACUGUAAAGCCAAAGACUCCCCCACUGGGGACCAGCCGGAGCCCCUCCCCUUUCCCCCCGGCCCCAGGCUACAUCUAGCCCACGGGCCCUCACUCCAUUCUCAGCUCUUUCAUGGCUUGGAUGCCCAAGAGUCUGAGAACCUGAUGACCCUGGUCUUCUUGCUGGCCUGGGGACCCCCAAGCCAGCCCAGGCUGUUCUGCACCUCAGACUGUGCUUCCCCACCCCCAGAGCGCUGUCCCGAGGCUGUCCUAUAGCCUGACACCCGCCUGGGCAGCAACAGCGUGGGGUAAGUGCAGUCAACUUCCUGUGUCCUGCCUCCCUGAGCAGCGGUGCCCAUGGCAGAUGGGAUGUGGGACCCCGCCCAACCCUACACUCCACCACACUGGGCUUCAGCUCUGAGUCCUCACUUCAUUCCUUCAGUGAGGGCUGGAGUUGGGCAGCACAGGGAAAGAGGACAGAGAGAAUCUUUUGGGGUGACAGGUUGGGGACCUCCCCUGGGUGACACUCAUCUCCUGACUGACUUUUGGGGUCUAGCCUCAGUCACUUGGCUCCAAUCCUCAUUCCUCUGAGUUCCCCAGCUCCAGUCCUCCCUGGGGCCCUCCUGAGCUUGGCUGGGAGCCUCCUUGAGUGGUGUAUGCUGGUGAGUCCUCACCCCGGGUUUCUGUCUACAUGGUGGGGAUAAGGACCCACAAGUGUCAGGAAGCCACUCACAGGGGAUGUGGGAUGGAUGACAGAUCUGCCAACAGUGGUCCAUGGGGCUUCUGAUGGUACAAACUCAGGGAUGAGCCUGUCCCAUGAAUUUCCUACAAAAGCUAUGCAUAAGUGUCAUUUUGGGGAUCCCUGGUGUGGAUUAGCUGUGUUCUUCCACCCCCAAUCUUGACCUUUGUAAUCUGAAAGUAGCUUUCCUUACCAGACAGUUUCUGCUGGUGAGAUCCAGUUUAGAGGACGUCACUGCAGGCUACGGUAGGUCAGUGCCUGCUGCUCUUUAAGGGGGACAUUUAGACACACAGGGAAGUGACUGGCAGAGGCAGAGGGUAGAAUUUGCUGCCACAGGCUGGUGAGAGCUGGGAGACAUACGUGAGUCUCAAUCUCCCUGGGAACCCCAAGGAGGAUCCAGGCCUGCUCUACCCUUGGCCUUUGGGGUUAGUCUCCAGGACUGGGAGAGAACAGAGGCUGUUGUUUGAAGUUUCCAUGCUGGUGGUCCUGAUCCCAGCAGUCCUGGGAAAUGCAUAGGGAUGCCAGAGAUGAAGAAACUGAAGCCCAGAGAGGUUAAGUCCUUAGCCCAAGACACACAGCAAGCUGGCACUGAUGUCAGACAGACUCCAGGGCUGUUUGGCAACCAAGCUCAUUCCCCUGGCUGGGGACUGAUGCGACUGGCCACCUUGUUUCGGGAUCGUUUGUAUGUAGGGUCCACACCAUGGGUCUAUCUCCCCAAGGACAACUGCCAAAGUGCAGAUUUGAGACAGACACAUGGGGCCAGCAGGAGACCCCAUGCCAUGCUUCUCAGAACACAAGCAGGAGAAAGGAGCACAGCAUUCAUACCAAGGUGACCAGAUAUGAGGGUCAAGCUCAGCUUCUUACAGUGUCCCCACGACACUGUAAGACACAGUACACUUAGUACCUAGUGCUCUGGACAAGGUUUCCAGAAGUUUCAGUCUCAACCCUCACCAGCCUGGAAACCUGAGAAACUCACUUCCUCCACCUUAGUUUCCCCAUCUGAAGAAUGGGUAUGGGCUCACAGGGCCUAGGAUGUAGGGAGGGAACAUCUUGGGGCAUUUUAGGGACAAAGGACCCCUUGUUUCUAAAGUUUCAACACCCACACAGACUGUGGGAUGACGCAGGGGAGGUGAUCUGGGGACAGAUUCCGCCGUGGCUAAGGGGAGGGGAGGAAAGCAAGGGACUGCAUCCUAGCCUCGCAUUCCCUUGGGAAACAGGAAGUCCAUUCUGCACAGGCGCUGCUCUGGCUCCAGGAAGCCAGAUGACCCUUUCCUCUCCUGUCUCCUCCCAACUGGGGAAGGAAUUCACUAUACUGUCAACAGCCCUGCCCAGCUUCUGACUAUGGCUCUCAGAGCUGGGGAGGUGGGGCAAGGUACUGCCAAGACGCCCCCUCAUCCUACUGGGUAAGGUUUACUGAGGCUCAGAGAGCCUAAGGCACCUGCUUCAGGCCACACAGCACACACAGCACACACAGCACACACAGCACACAGGGCCGGUGUGGUUAGAACUUGGUAGUUAGGAGUUCUCAUGCUUAGCAGGACCGAUGUCACAGGAGAGCAGGGCGCCACCACUCUCAUGGCAAGCCACUCAAGGCCAGCCCCCUUCCCUGAGGACCUCCAACUGCCAGAUUCCACCCACAGAACACUCUACCUAUCCUAACAGCCUGACACAGGCCAUGUCUCAGUCACCCAGAAUGUCAGCAUCAGGCUUGGACUCAUCCAGCCCCAACCCCUACCCCUGUAACUGACAGCAGGCUGUCUACUACAAUGUUGCCUCCACAAUGUUACCUACUACAAUGUCUCCUGGACAGUGUGACCCACAAAGGCAGGCUGCUUUGCCCUGGCUGUAUGCAUGGAGGCACCUGUUCUCCUGAGUACAUCAGGAUGCCACAAGACCCUCAUUAUGCUUCCAGGAGAGUCUCCCGGGGAAGCUCUUUGCUUAUCCAUUUCUUCCUGUUCAAAUGCAGACAAAGGGCUGGAACCUUGGCACCCAUUCUGGGAUAGCGAGGCUCUGAAGAGGGAGGUGCAUGUGGAGGAUGCCUAAGGUAUGAGAGGGAAGGAACACAGUGCCCUCGGAUGCACCUCUUCUAGCCUGUUUUUUUGUUUUUGUUUUUAAGUUGCUGUGACUUCCUUCUCCUUUUCCUCUUGCUCCUCCUUCCCUCCUCCUCUCAUAUGGCCCAGGUUGACCCUGAGGUUACUAUGUAACUCAGGCUGGCCUUUAACUCUAGAUGACUCCUGUCUCAGUCCCUUAAGUGCUCGUGAAUGACUACGCGAGGUAAGCUGGCAUUUAAACAGAGGAUACGGCGGUUCAGAGGUAGAUAUGACGACUAUAUGAAGACUAGAUCACCGGAGUGGGUAAGAACUUGUGUGGGGAAAGCCGCAGCAGGGAAGGGUGAUUCCAUUGUCUCUAGUAGCCAGCAGCAGCUGACCCCAGUGUAGGCAGAGCGUGCCCUGGGUGCAACUGGAGAGGGAUUCAUGGACAGCGAUGGAGCCACCCUGGGGCUUCCAGGAGUAUGGAUGGGGUGGAUGAGGGUCUUGCCACUGUUCUGAGUCCUUGACACGGCAUGGGAUAGUGACAGGAAGACAGGACCCAAGUGCUAUCUGUACAAGUGUCUGACAGGCAAGUGCUGAGGCCCAAGGUGCUACAUGGAAAGUCAGGGUGCUCCACUGGCAGACAUCCCAAGGUGCUCCACUGAAAUUCCAAGGUGCUCCACUGAAAUCCUAAGGUGCUCUAUGGAAAGGUCAGUGCCCGCUUGCAAGUUGGGGAAGAAGCAUCCUCAGCAGAGUCUUCUAUUGAGCAUAUGACCUUGCCCUACCUGUUGUGUGGUCUGAACCAGCUCCUGCCCUCUCUGGGCCUGGUGAGGGGGAGGUGCCAUGCUCUCCUAUGAAGAACGCAGUGUGGCAGUGGGAAGAAUUAUUUUUCUGCGUUUCUAAGCUCUUUUAUGUGCCUCUUCUUUCAGUCACAGACGCCAGGGUCUCAGGGAGGACCAGAACUGGGGAUCUGAGGACAAAAGGGAAGGCUUGAUGUUAGCUUCUGAGUGAACGUGCUGCUGCUGUUGCUAGCCCACUGAUAAUGGCCCGGAGAACCGGCAGGGGAGGGGCUCCCAAGUCUAGACAUGUUCUUUGCACAUCAAGAGCCAGAUUACAGGAUUGUGGACAGGAUGAGGAGAGCAGGGAGAGGACACAGAGGCCACCAUACUGGGAGUGAGAGGGACAGGGAAGACACUCAGGGAUCCUGUGGUCCUGGGUGGGGAGGGUCUGGGUCAGUCUCUGCUUCUCAUGAUGUGGAAGGGGAGGCAGGCUUUGAUGGCCCCUGGAGGUGCUCAGCUGCCUCAGCCCAUACCCGUUAGGACACUUUCUCAUCUGUGAAGUUCUCCUGGAACCAGUGCAGGAUUUGUGGGGUUCAAGGAGCCGGUGCCAACUGUGGUGCCAGUUGCAAGAGGCAGGGAGAGGAGCCACAGGUAGAGCAAGUGUUACCUGGGGCACUGGGUAGGGGGUGUGGCCCAAUCUGCAUGCCCACCCUGCUGGUUCCUUCAGGAAGCCACAUCAGCUCCUGUCUCCAUCCGGGAAGCCAUGGUGAGAAAAGGACUAUUUUUUUUUUUUCUUGUGUGGGGCUAGGGUUGGAACCACAGGCCUGCCUGAUAGGCCCUCUACCACCAAGCUUUUAAAAUGGUUUCUCUUCAGUUUCCCUUUGCAGUGUUUGUUGGAAUCCAGGUCCUCACAAAUGCUAAACAAACCCUCAAGCACUGAGCCACACCCCUGCCAUUUGGGGACAAAGUAUAAAGGCAUUCCAGAAGCACCAUGGCAGGGUGACUGGUGACAGUGGUCAGAAAGCUAUGAUCUACUUGGAAACCCUCCCACCAUGUGACAGUAUCUGCAGUGAUUAUAAAGAGGGCGGACAGACCUGUGUGCUGGCUCUCCUGCGCUCCGGGCUUUGUAGCUAUUGCUGUUCCUGCGGUGCAUGGGGAGGUGAGAAGAAAAGCCUCAAAGGCAAGGAAGAGUUGUGCCUGCAGCUCACUCUGGGACACUGGGAGAGGAAAGAGGGUAGUUGUCCCACAAUGACCUUUGUUAUGAGGCAUCUCGGCAGAGCUGCCUGGAGUUGGACUGGUCCCACCUCUGAUUGGGUCUCAGUCUUGCAGGUAUAAAGAGGAACCACACAGGAAUGCUGAGUUCUUCUGCCCUCAGACAGCAGGAUGAGGCCCUCUCCUGCUCUGACUGACUUGCUGGUCACUUCCACUGAAAGGAGAUAAUUUCCCAGGAGAGGGAAAGGUUUUCUGGCACAUGGUGCCUGCCUGCGGCUUCAAGGACUUUCACUUAUGUGGUGGAGUCCCCUAUAUGGUCACUAGUGAGGCUUUAAGCCAUCCUCCCAACAGGGGUUGACAGGUAUCAUUUUUGGGAAAGACCCACCUUUAGGGAUAGUGUCUCUCUUUCCACAUGUGCCUAUCCCAGGUGAUUUGCAAAGGUGGACAUCAUUUUUUUUAAGACAUAGCUUUUUAUUGGUCUAAUUUACAUGCCAAGAGACCGGCUUGGGCAACUUUCUCCAUGUGCCCUCUGUUGAGAGCUCCUGGCUUGCCCCAGGAAAGAAGAGUGUCCUGGUCAGGGGUUGACAGACAUUCAGUUGGGACCUGAAGGGGCUCAGGGUGAUGGAGAGAUGGGGCCUCAGGGCAGAAGGAGAGCAGUGCCCUGAACAGCCCAUGCCUUGACAGGAUGGGAGGGAUUAGAAGGGAAGAACUUUCCCAGCAGCUCCUACUGUGCCCUUCAAGCCAUCAGCAGGUGGACAUCAUUCUUGACUGAUGCUAGUGUUCCUAUACUCUGGGAUGGAACCUCCAGCAGAGUCAAUAAGAUGAGGAGAUAAAGUUCGUGAUCUGCCCAAGGCCACGUGGCUAGCAAUUCUCAGACCAGUUCUGACCGUAUCUCCAGAGAACUUUAAACCAUGAGGGAAGGGAGAUCUAGAACUUAGAAAGCUCCAGAGCCAAGGAUAAAUGGAUGGCAUCAUUGCCACCUCCUAGUGGCCAUGUAUCCACAGUACCAUGAGGGUCACUCGAGCAGCAGGGCAAUCCUCGGAGAGUGACAGACAGUUGUUCAUGUGUCAGGUUCAGUUUUAUGUAGUACUGAUAGAGAUGCCCAGUUUCAAGGGCUGCCUUGUCUGCUGGGGUAGAAUCUGGAAGGGUGGUAGGGGGUGUACUGGGAUUGUGGAAUUAGAGGGGUAUUUCUGGGGUCUGGGUCAGAUAGAAAUCUAGAAAUUUCCUGGUGUCUUUGGUGCUUGUGUGUGUGUGGGAGAGCCAAGAGGAGUGGUGACUAUGGGAGGAGCAGCCUGUGCCAUGGCCCUGCAGUGAGGGAGCUUGGCUCAAAGAAUAUUGAGUAUCACAGAAGGCUAAGGUGAGGGUGGGGACUGGAUCCUGGGUAAGAGAUGGAGGAGGCCACAGGGGUGGUGAGAUGGGAGCUAGGGUGCUCCUCAGGGCAGAACUAGGGCUAGAAUGUGUGAUCCCCAGCUAGGAGGUCUCUGGCAUGAAUGAGAUGGGAAGCUGUGGCUCCUGGCUAGCUUGGCUCAACAACUAAUGCUCACUUUAGAGGCUCAGGGCUGCAACAUGCCCUCCAGGUCUGGGCAGGGAAGAGAGGGAAGCCCUCCGUUUUACACUCCUUCCCUAACCUCGAGGCCAUGCCAGGAACCCGGCCUGGAGGUACCCCUGCCUGACAGAAUAGAGAGCUGGGCCCACAGUACCUCAACCUGAACUAGUUUAAAGCACCCAGGAACUCUAGGUGUGGUGCUACACAUCUGUAGUUGCAGCUUCUGGGGAGGCAGAGCUGGUGGAUCGGAGUUCGAGGCCAGCCUGGCAACUCUGUGAACUCCUGUCCCAAAAGGAAAAGUAACAUCACGGCAGAGAAAGCUGAGGUAGACCAGUUAUCUAGCAUGCCUGAGACCCUGGGCUCCAUCUUCUAUGUCAAGCACAUGGAUGCACACACAGGCACAGGCAUAUGAUGUAUACACAGGCAUGCACACAGCACACACAGACACACAGACUGAGUGAGGGCUGGGUAGAGAAACCCCCUUGCAGGAGGCUGUCUUUCACACAUCAGCAUCUCCCUGCUCAUGGCAUUGUGGGUCCCAUCCUGUAGGUGAGAAGGCUCCUCAAGAGUCUGGGGGCAGGUGGUGGAGAAACAGCUCUGAGUCCCUGUGUGUUUGCAUGCUGAGCCUCCCUGGCAGGGCGAAACCUGCCCUAAAGGAGGAGUGUGCACCAGAUCUGACAGCAGAUGACAGAGGUUAAAGCAAAUACUAUCCUGGUGGCCAAGCCUAGGUCUCAUGAGGCAGGAAGCCACAUGAAGGCUGGGAAGAAAGCCUUGGGAAGGCUCAGCCUGCUGCCUGGUCUGCCCUGGGGAGCAUCCUUUGGAAGGAGGAGAGAUCCCAUUGGUCUUCUCAUGCACAACACAUUCUUCCCCAGCCAACCAGCCCUAGGCUCUCUGCACAUUCAUACAUCACUACAUCUCAUCUCAACUCCCAUGAAAAUGUUUCCACUCCUCGACUGCUUCAUCCUUCUUUCCCUCUCUCCCUUCCUGCCCUCCCUCCAUUGCUCCAGCCCUUCCUCCAUCCAUCCACGUAUCCAUCUACGUACUCCAUCACACAUCCCCAUUCCAGCAUCUGUCCCCAUUCCUCUAUCCCUCCCGUUUCCCUUCCUCCAUCCAUCCAUUUAUCACAUCCAUCCCUUCACUUCCAGCAUUCUUUUAUCUCUCCUGCUUCUUUCCCUCCCUCCCAACAUCUUCCCCACCCUCCUCCUCUUUCUCUCU
RNAcentral lists this small RNA (7657 nucleotides) under Rattus norvegicus (Norway rat). RNAcentral's name for it is "uncharacterized LOC108351040". Lineage: Eukaryota; Metazoa; Chordata; Mammalia; Rodentia; Muridae. The record is from RNAcentral.